Molecule: ribosomal RNA, 512 nt
Filed under: uncultured bacterium
Lineage: Bacteria
Description: partial 16S ribosomal RNA
Rfam family: Bacterial small subunit ribosomal RNA
Source: RNAcentral
GACGAACGCUGGCGGCGUGCCUAAUACAUGCAAGUCGAGCGAACCAAUAGGAGCUUGCUCCUGUUGGUUAGCGGCGGACGGGUGAGUAACACGUGGGCAACCUGCCUGUAAGACUGGGAUAACACCGGGAAACCGGUGCUAAUACCGGAUAAUCUUUUUCCUCUCAUGAGGAAAAACUGAAAGUCGGUUUCGGCUGACACUUACAGAUGGGCCCGCGGCGCAUUAGCUAGUUGGUGAGGUAACGGCUCACCAAGGCGACGAUGCGUAGCCGACCUGGGAGGGUGAGCGGCCACACUGGGACGUAGACACGGCCCAGACUCCUACGGGAGGCAGCAGUAGGGAAUCUUCCACAAUGGACGAAAGUCUGAUGGAGCAACGCCGCGUGAGCGAUGAAGGCCUUCGGGUCGUAAAGCUCUGUUGUUAGGGAAGAACAAGUACCGGAGUAACUGCCGGUGCCUUGACGGUACCUAACCAGAAAGCCACGGCUAACUACGUGCCAGCAGCCGCAGUAA